UGCAAAUGUGAGUGAAAGAGACUCGUUCUCGACACUGUGGAUAGACUAAGUAAAAAAGGGAAAAGAAAAAGAGUUGAUGAAGAUGGAUAACGAAAGGAAAACUUUCGAUAAUACAAGACGGGAAAGAGAGCGGAGAAGGAGGGAGUAAUAGUCUUCGCUAGAAAAGGGUGAGUGAUCACCCGAAACUCUAUUCGACCUUUAUGUAUCAAAAAGAUGGGUGUGUAAGGGAGAGCAAUGUUGAUGACGCAUACGGAGAAUAAGGGUUCGAUUCCGGAGAGGGAGCAAGAGAGAUUGCUACUACUUCUAUGGAAGGCAGCAGGCGCGAAAAUUGCCCAAUCGGAAAUACCGGAGGCAGUGAAAAGGAAUAAGAAUGACAAAGGAAGCAAUUCCGAGUCAAUUCAAAUGAGUUAGAUGAAAAAUAGCAAACGAGAAGCAAGUGGAGGGCAAGUCUGGUGCCAGCAGCCGCGGUAAUACCAGCUCCACUAGCAUGUUAAAGUUGCUGCAGUUAAAACGCUCGUAGUUGG
Molecule: ribosomal RNA, 524 nt
Filed under: uncultured eukaryote
Lineage: Eukaryota
Description: bacterial SSU rRNA
Rfam family: Eukaryotic small subunit ribosomal RNA
Source: RNAcentral